GCAUAUCAAUAAGCGGAGGAAAAGAAACCAACAGGGAUUGCCCUAGUAACGGCGAGUGAAGCGGCAACAGCUCAAAUUUGAAAUCUGGCCCCAGGCCCGAGUUGUACUUUGCAGAGGAUGCUUCGGGCGCGGCGCCUUCCAAGUCCCCUGGAACGGGGCGCCUUAGAGGGUGAGAGCCCCGUACGGUUGGAUGCCUAGCCUGUGUGAAGCUCCUUCGACGAGUCGAGUAGUUUGGGAAUGCUGCUCAAAAUGGGAGGUAGACCCCUUCUAAAGCUAAAUACCGGCCAGAGACCGAUAGCGCACAAGUAGAGUGAUCGAAAGAUGAAAAGCACUUUGAAAAGAGGGUCAAAAGCACGUGAAAUUGUUGAAGGGGAAGCGCUUGUGACCAGACUUGCGCCGGGGCGAUCAUCUGGCGUUCUCGCCGGUGCACUCGCCCCGGCUCAGGCCAGCGUCGGUUCGGGGGGGAGGACAAAGGCGCCGGGGACGUGGCUCCCCCGGGAGUGUUAUAGCCCGGCGCGUCAUGCCCCCUCCCGGACCGAGGUUCGCGCUCUGCAAGGACGCUGGCAUAAUGGUCACCAGCGGCCCGUCUUGAAACACGGACCAAGGAGUCGAGGUUCUGCGCGAGUGUUUGGGUGUCAAACCCGCACGCGUAAUGAAAGUGAACGUAGGUGAGAGCUUCGGCGCACCACCGACCGAUCCUGAUGUUCUCGGAUGGAUUUGAGUAAGAGCGUUGGGCCUCGGACCCGAAAGAUGGUGAACUAUGCUUGGAUAGGGUGAAGCCAGAGGAAACUCUGGUGGAGGCUCGCAGCGGUUCUGACGUGCAAAUCGAUUCGUCAAAUCUGAGCAUGGGGGGCGAAAGACUAAUCGAACCAUCUAGUAGCUGGUUACCGCCGAAG
This 896-nucleotide ribosomal RNA is filed under the name Caligospora dilabens. RNAcentral's name for it is "LSU rRNA". It matches the Rfam family "Eukaryotic large subunit ribosomal RNA", at positions 38 to 966 of the family's 3401-position model. Lineage: Eukaryota; Fungi; Ascomycota; Sordariomycetes; Chaetosphaeriales; Chaetosphaeriaceae. The record is from RNAcentral.